CAAGCACAUAUCUCCAACAUGGUUCACAAGUUCCUUGGAAAAGUUUUUUGGAAUUGAAUGCUACGUGCUGAAUUUCCUCAGGCAAAGAACUGGAAACUAUCACACAAGUAUGUGACACUCUCCUUAGCCAGCAGUAAGAACAUUUGAAGAGGUUUGUGCAUGCCUGAAGACGAUUUCACUACCCCCACCCAGCAAUUCAUG
Molecule: long non-coding RNA, 201 nt
Organism: Cyanistes caeruleus (blue tit)
Lineage: Eukaryota; Metazoa; Chordata; Aves; Passeriformes; Paridae
Source: RefSeq, a predicted model, not a curated record